This is an RNA transcript of Scophthalmus maximus (turbot), 5024 nucleotides long. It is a transcript of the gene named family with sequence similarity 49 member A, with no coding region annotated. The transcript is spliced from 6 exons. The record is from RefSeq and is a predicted model, not a curated record. NCBI's taxonomy places the organism in Eukaryota, Metazoa, Chordata, Actinopteri, Pleuronectiformes, Scophthalmidae.
UUGUCCGUGACCCCUUAGUGAGCUAGGAGACGGGUCAAGCUGUUCUUCUUACCUGUUUAAAUAAAUCCCUCAUAAUGUUUAUUUAAAAUUUUGGCCGAACCACUGAGAGAAUCCAUCCGCGCCGUCAACGUCAACAGGCGCAGUUGGUUUUCGCGCCACAGAGGAGGCAACGCGGAAGUCGCGGCGACGUUAGCUAAACAGCUAACUUAAACCCAAAGUUACCUGGCUGGGUGUGUCCGGUUUCUGCGAGAUUAAAGAAAAUGGAUAAGACCACACAUGAAGAUAUCAGUGUGCAAACAGGGAGAGCGCUCACUUCACCACCCUCCCCAAAACGGCCAAGGACUGACUGCACGGUGACAGACAACAACAGUGCAGAGACAAGGUUUGACUUUCCUGACCUUUGGACAUUUCGAAAAACCGUUGGCUCCGCAGCAUCUCUGCACAAGAACGUGGUUCUAAUAUGCUCAGUGGAAAGUGGGGAUGGCCGAGAUGAGAAACUCCACGAGCAACCACAACACACCAAAUUAAUUGUCACUCCUAUUACCAAGGCGACCGCUUCACACACUGACGAUGCACACGCAGGACUGUCUGAAGUCUGUCUUAUCACUGCUGAGAGACACCUCCUACAUCUGGGGAAAGAUGAGCAGCCUCCACUUACUAAAACUGACAAGCUCAGCUCAUACCCGCGAGAUGAUGCAGGUGGGGCAUUGGCAGAGUCUGACACUUCCAAAGACACCAGCGCCGACACGUCCAGCCAUCCUGAUUGCAGACGGCUGGGGAAAUCACUCGAACAUGAACACCCUGGUGGUUGCUGCCUUCCCGCAGGAAACGACAUAGAUGGUAGACAGGUGCAAAAUAAUGUCAUUCAAAUCCAGGCAUUUAACCUCAGUUCAAGGGCUGAAGUGGUCAGAUGUCAGUCUGAUUGCACUCAUGAAGAUGCUCUAUGCAACGCUGGUUUCCGUAAUGCGAGGAGUGAAUCUGCUGAAGUCAAAGCAUGUAAUCAGAAAAAGAACAAGCUUGUAUUUGGUGAGAAUAUAAUGUUCAUCAAGGAGGAGGCUAACAGUCACACAUCUCUCAGUGAUUGUGCAGACUCCAAAUCAGUUUAUUCAAACCCUGAAGAACAACCCUCUGGGAACUUUGCACACGCUGUAAAAACGGAGGAAAAAAUAUCAGAAAAUGUUGCCGCCUGUGAAAGAGAAACAAAAGGCCACGUUAAUGAGACCGGUAUGAGAAAAAGCCUGAUCCAUUCUGUUGCUGAAUGUGCUCAAGGCUCGAUCGUUGCUUAUGAUAUGGUAUUAGCCAGAAAUAUUACGGCUGAGAAAGUGAGUUUUGAGGUUGAUGACUUCUGUGUGGUAAAAGGCAAGCGCGCCGCUGGCGAGAUGAUCGCCAGAGCUCGGAGUGAUGCGGCUGAUCACACAACAGAGACUCCAAUGCCUGCAAGAAUCAGCCGAGAGCCCACUGAAGGAGAUAACGAUCCGGGCGCUUUCAGUGUAAUUGACCCCGCAAUAUGGAGUGAAGCUGACAUGGAGGCUGAAGUGAAACGCUGUAACUCAGAGAGCACUGCAGCUGUAGAAAGAUCUCCAUCAGUAAAAGUCUGUGGGACGGACACGCAGGAGGUUUCAGCUCACGACCAGACUGGGCAGCGUAAUCACCAAAGCACACCACGGAAGCCUGAAGAAAAAGAAGACUUAACUCAGUCAUACACGGAACCGCAGGCUGUCUCCAUCCCCAUCAACCAAACACACAACACAAGUGGCAAUGAAAGCUGGAAAUCCAGUCCCAGCAGCAGUCCACACAGACACACAAAGCCUCCUCCUGCUGUGGACGGAAGACAUGAGAGUCAUAGGUCUGUGAGACAUCAGGUGAAAGAGUUAAUUCCCGUCAUUCUUGACGACCUGGUUGAAUAUUCACAGACUGGAUUUGCCAGAAUGGACAGGGCCCCUGAGGUAAAAGAAAGAGAAGACAUGCUGAGUUGCGUAGGACAAAUAAAAACAGAUGAAUAUUGGAACUCAGAGAAAUCAAUGGAGUCAUGGGAAGAACUUCUGCAACAAAAUCGAAAAGACAAAAUCAACACAAAGAAAAUAUCAGCUGGGGAUUGCAUCAGUGACCCGACAGAGGGAGAAGUCGGUGAAUAUGACAACAGGUCAACACUUGUGGAAGAUGAAGAGACAGCUGAAGACGGGGAAAGAAAAGAGGUGAUUGACGUUGGAGAAGGAAAUAAAACUGAGGUUCAAGGAAAGUCAGAGAUAUUGGUGAGAACAGCGGAUAAACUGCAGCAAGGAAACAAACACAAAAGAGACAUGACUGAAGUGUCACAUGUUGAAUGUGUCAGUGAACGGACGGAGGGUGUCGUGAGUAAAAGUGAAAACACAUUAAGCCAAGUUAGUCAACACGAACACGGAAAUAAGCUCAGUUGUUUCCCUGCUGAGACAUUAAUGGUUGAAAACAAAGAUGACCUUGCGUUCUUCCCUCUCGCUCCAACAAGUGAUGCAGUUGUGCCCUGCAAGCACGAUUUAAACCAUUCAAGAAAUGCACACAGCAACCCCACAGCCCUAAACUGUAAUGACAGAUUUUCCCCAGUGCCAUCUGUCUUCACUUUCUAUGACCGGGCGCCUAGGGGCUUUGACACUUUCGAAAAGAUCCAGCUCUCACCAGACGACGAUGGUGACGAUGGUGAUGCUGCUGCCGGCCUGGGCAACAGCCCUCUCCUUACCAGCUCACCCGGGCAGCUGUUGGAAACAUCCCAGCGACAACUUUCCCGCUCUAUGCCAGCGACAGGGGAGAUACCAGGAGAGGAGGGAGGGGGCAAGGAGGAGGUGCAAAGAAUUCAGCGAUGCAUCGAUUACAAAAAAGUUUUAAGCAGUGACUCCACUUGUAAUGAACUCCUAAACUUGAUCUCAGAGGCAGACAUUGUUGAUAUUGCAGAUGUUAUUGCUCUUGGAUGUUCAGAGCAACUGUUUGGCUGUGACUUGGCCUGUGCUUCCGCCGUGCACAUCCAGGAUGAAUUUAACCCUCAGUCAAAGUCCUCCACUGUUUCCACCGAGAGCGACAGUCCGUCUGAUGCGAACAUGUGCCCUGAGUUUCAGAUGAAAGAACACUUCGACAUGGUGUUGAAAGAGCUGAACCUGUUUUUUGAAAUUAGCAUAAAUGAUUUUGCGAGCGACAGCAAAGCGCCGACACCAGAGCAGUGUAGUGACACAGCUGAAGCAUCAGAGGGCGACGUCUCAAACUGCAAAGAACAUCUCAGUAGCCCACAGCUGGGAGGCCACAGAGACACAUCAUCAGAGUCUCUGUCGCAGUGACAACAAGACCCCAGGAAGUCACUGAGCCGGACCAAAAUAUUCCAAUGAUGCCGAUGAAGACUCCACCUUGGAAAUGUCUGAAGGUGAUCCAGGGGUUUCUUGUACCAGUGGCAGCCGCGACGGCGAGCAAGAGGUGCCCCUCUGCAGCCAGGAGACGUCGGUGUGCGCCGCAGAGAAACACAGAGAGCCGUGGGGGAUGGAGCAGAGAAGCGAAAUGUGGUCUCCAUCCUUCAUGUCUCCACCAUUCUUAGAGCAACUGAGCUACAGACCCCCGGAGAAGCACAAGAGACUGGAGCCUCUGAGAACGUGCACACGACCAAUCCAGGUCGGACUUUCAAAGAGAGCCAAGACCAAACACCUGCACCGCCCCCACCCCUACAAGUGAACGUCGGGAAGGCAAUUAAAGGUGAUGCAUGCAUGAAUGUUAACGAAGCCUCCCCCUCGCUGCCAUGUUCAACAUCUCAUUUUCUGAUGUACAGUAUAUUGUUGUCUCAUGUUUUGUGAGUGGUUUCCUGUACAUCUAUCGCAACCUUACCUCGGGAAGGUUUACCCCACAAAAUGUGCUGUUUCACGUUUGCAGAUUUAAAUGCAGCAUGCCAUAUAGUGUGCUGCUGUUGGAGGAGUAAGUGCCUAAUCCAGGGACGCCUUGACAAUCUCUCCACAUAUCUCCAUCUGAAAUAAUAUGUUGAUUUUUAACAUUUUUCCCAAUAUUUAUGUAUUUAUCUAUCCAUUUAUUUAUUUAGUACGUUUCCCCCGAUACAUUCCCAUGGGUUUAAUUCCUAUACAAAAAAAAUCAGUUUAUAUACCACUAUUUACAUACAAUUAUUAUUUACACAACAGUGUCGUUGUGUAAAUAAUAAUGCUUUCACCAUUAUAUUCAGGUUUGUCGUAUGUAAUUGGUUCUCGUGUGUUUCGUUGUCGGCGGGUAGAUACAUUACGCUCCUGGUUCCCGUGAUGUGUGGGUGUAAUCAGUCGUGUUCUGUUACUGUAUCAUUACAUGGGUUCACAUGUAGUGGAUGCAGCACAUCCCUUCAGCAGUUCUGUGGGAGGUUGGCUGAUAUUGAAUUUCACAAUGCCGUGUUUGCCCUGAGAAUUAAAUAAUAUAACUGUAUAUACAAUGUGUUUUUCAUGUAUACAGUAUAUACAGUACGUGACUGUAUCCUGAGCAAAACAUAAAUCUAUACUCAUAACAGGGAGCAUGUUCUCUCUCUUUUGAUUUCGUUUCCGAAAAGCAACGAGUGUUUGGUCCACAGAAGAUAUACCUUCUAACUCAUAAAUAAAUUCACUCUUAUUCUACAAACUGUGCAGCUCAAUGCUGUUGUGGUUUCAUCAUAAAAGACAAAACAUAUACAAUUUGAGCAACUUCCCGCCACAACAGAAGCACACUGAAUUUAUUUCAACAUGGAGUCAGUUCUUGUGUUAGCUUGAGGCAGUGGAAGUGACAUUUCCUGAAUGUUAAGUGAAUCAGUUUCUUUUUAUUCUUGAGUCGAACUGUGUUUUCUAGACUACGGAGGGCAGGUUGGUAACAUUUAAUGCAGUGCUGUUCCACAUUGUUCAGACAGAAGUUAGAAUAGAAUUAAGGACAGUUUGCAUUAGUCUUCAGUCACCAGUGGCUUGUUUGCUUAACGUGCCCAUUGUGCUGUUUUGUGAUCUUAAUUUUCUUCAUUGCUUUGAAUUCCUCUUCAUGAAUGAAAAAGUAUAAACUACACAUUUUGUCAUAAA